CCUACGGGCGACAGCAGUGGGGAAUAUUGCACAAUGGAGGGAACUCUGAUGCAGCGACGCCGCGUGAGUGAAGAAGUAUUUCGGUAUGUAAAGCUCUAUCAGCAGGGAAGAAAGUGACGGUACCUGAUCAAGACGCCCCGGCUAACUACGUGCCAGCCGCCGCGGUAAUACGUAUGGAGCAAGCGUUAUCCGGAUUUACUGGGUGUAAAGGGAGCGUAGACGGCAGCACAAGUCUGGAGUGAAAUCCCAGGGCUUAACCCUGGAAAUGCUUUAGAAACUGUGCAGCUAGAGUGCAGGAGAGGUAAGUGGAAUACCUAGUGUAGCGGUGAAAUGCGUAGAUAUUAGGAGGAACACCAGGGGCGAAGGCGGCUUGCUGGACUGUAACUGACGCUGAGGCUCGAAAGCGUGGGGAGCAAACAGGAUUAGAUACCCUUGUAGUC
RNAcentral lists this ribosomal RNA (440 nucleotides) under uncultured bacterium. Its description in RNAcentral is "partial 16S ribosomal RNA". It matches the Rfam family "Bacterial small subunit ribosomal RNA", at positions 338 to 795 of the family's 1533-position model. The record is from RNAcentral.